RNAcentral lists this ribosomal RNA (451 nucleotides) under uncultured bacterium. RNAcentral's name for it is "partial 16S ribosomal RNA". It matches the Rfam family "Bacterial small subunit ribosomal RNA", at positions 28 to 507 of the family's 1533-position model. The record is from RNAcentral.
AGCGAACGCUGGCGGCAUGCCUAACACAUGCAAGUCGCACGGGGGGGCUUCGGCCUCCCAGUGGCGGACGGGUGAGGAACGCGUAGGGACCUGUCGAGGGGUGGGGGAUAACCGCGGGAAACUGCGGCUAAUACCGCAAGACGCCGCGGCGUGACAGCCGGGGCCAACGGCGACAGCCGCCCGCCGGGGGGCCUGCGGCCGAUUAGCUGGUUGGCGGGGUAGCGGCCCCUCAAGGCGUCGAGCGGUAGCUGGGAUGAGAGGGUGAGCCGCCACUCCGGGACUGGGACACGGCCCGGACUCCUACGCGAUGGAGCAGUGCGUAAUAUUGGCCAAUGGGCGGUAGCCUGAUCCACCAAUGCCUCGUGGGUGCAUAAGGUCUGCGGAUUGUAAAGUCCUUUCGGCGGGGACGAUGUUGACGGUACCCGCAGAAGAAGCCCCGGCUAACUUCGUG